GGCACGGUGGCUUAGUGGUUAGCACUGCUGCCUCGCGCCUCCAGGGUUGGGGGUUCAAAUCCUGCCUCUGCCA
Molecule: non-coding RNA, 73 nt
Organism: Pangasius djambal
Lineage: Eukaryota; Metazoa; Chordata; Actinopteri; Siluriformes; Pangasiidae
Source: the annotation of a GenBank genome assembly